This 168-nucleotide small nuclear RNA is filed under the name Erpetoichthys calabaricus (reedfish). RNAcentral describes it as "U2 spliceosomal RNA (ENSECRG00000013366.1)". It matches the Rfam family "U2 spliceosomal RNA". From Rfam's summary of the family: U2 is a small nuclear RNA (snRNA) component of the spliceosome (involved in pre-mRNA splicing). Complementary binding between U2 snRNA (in an area lying towards the 5' end but 3' to hairpin I) and the branchpoint sequence (BPS) of the intron results the bulging out of an unpaired adenosine, on the BPS, which initiates a nucleophilic attack at the intronic 5' splice site, thus starting the first of two transesterification reactions that mediate splicing. Lineage: Eukaryota; Metazoa; Chordata; Cladistia; Polypteriformes; Polypteridae. The record is from RNAcentral.
CCACCUUUUAAUAAAAAAUGUGUUAUCAGUUUAAUAUCUGAUACGUCCCCUAUCUGGGGACCAUAUAUUAAAUUGAUUUUUGGAACAGGGAGGUGGAAUAGGGGCUUGCUCCGUCCACUCCACGCAUCGACCUGGUAUUGCAGUACUUCCAGGAGCGGUGCACUUUCU